Molecule: non-coding RNA, 794 nt
Organism: Lolium perenne
Lineage: Eukaryota; Viridiplantae; Streptophyta; Magnoliopsida; Poales; Poaceae
Source: RefSeq, a predicted model, not a curated record
CCUGUUUCCUUUGGGGAAAAAUAGCAAUGAAGCAGCCACACAAAGGCUUCUUCCUCCUACCUAUACCGCCGGCCCUUUGAUUCCUUCAUUCCGUCUGACUGGGUAUUCCGGCAGCGGGAGCUUGAAGGUCGAGAAACAGAUCCAUUGGUGGUAUGAGCUAUACACAUGGACAACAAGACAUGGAAUAACAAUUGGUAUCAUCAAGAAAGCAUUUUACAAAGAACACUUCUGCUACAUCAGUGGUCAAGAUAUAUGCAGACGACAAGGAUAUGUGUGGCAUUGAGCUUCGUCUAGCUAGACCUGUGUGUGAAUUUUAUGUGAGCAGCUUUGCCAGUCGGAAUUAACUCAAAUUGAGCCAAGGAGAAGAUGUAAAUCAGUGCAGGGUGGUGCAGCUAUGCAUGCAGGCUUUCUCUUCAUGGCCGGAUGGCAGUGGCAUUUGAUGUAGCUAGCUCUCAAAACUGUUGAUCUGUCCUUGUAUGUGGGCUCAGGAAAGGUAAGGUUGUCCAGCUUAACUAGUGCCGCUUCUUGGUGGCUCCUGGGUGUGUGUGUGGGCAAACGAUGAAGGCAUUAUUAUGAGGCCAAUCCCUAUAUGUGUGUGCAGUUACGACUGUAGGGACAUGUGCAGUUACGACACAUCUGAGCAUGGUCAGGUAUUUGUACACAUCUAACCAUACAGUGGUAGAUAACGAUGGGAUAUUUAGCACAACCCCCGUUGUCUGUUAGUUCACUAGGGCAUAGACAUCUUCGACCUAAGAUUGAGGCAAUUUGUUGCCUAGUUGGGGCCUACUACAACC